Molecule: long non-coding RNA, 1565 nt
Filed under: Homo sapiens (human)
Lineage: Eukaryota; Metazoa; Chordata; Mammalia; Primates; Hominidae
Description: HSALNT0119826
Source: RNAcentral
AUCUGAGCUAACUGGUCAUCAUAAGAACGUAGGGUCCAUAAUUUCUCUAAUUCAUAGAUUUCUCUGGUUUCUGGAAGCAUCAAAUGAAUCACCAUGCUGCCUGUCAGGGACAGAUAAGAGAUACAAUGAAGGAAUAGUUCAUUUGCUUUUAUUCUUACCUUACAACACACACUGGCUAACUCUAGGAAUAAAGCAGUGGUUCUCAAGUGUGGUUCCCAGAUUAGCAUCACUGUGGACUCCAUCCCAGCAAAAAUACCACAGAAGUGAUGCUAUGCCUUUCUCAGUGUACCUACAGGAGGCAUAUGUCAAUAUAUAACAUUGCUGGUGAUAGUAACUUUAUCAAAGAGACUAAUGGUGUCAGGAUUCUCUUCGGUGACAAUUCUCCAUGGGUAACACACUUCUGCACAUCUUUUGUGCAAAAACACUGACUGCCUUUUGUUUUGACUAUCCAAGAAUGUUUGUAUCGUGAAUAUUCUUAACAGAAAGAUACUGCCUCCCUCCAGGGCAAAGGGCAGCUUUGCUUACAGCAGCAUUUCUCAAUUAGGUAAUAAUGGUAAUGUUUAGAGUCAUUUUUGAUUGUCACAAUUGGAGAAGGGAGGAUACUGCUAAACAUCGUACCGUGCACAAGAGACACCCCUCCCCCACAUGCAAAAUUACCUGGUCCAAAACGUUAAUAGCGACAAAAGUGAGAAACCAUCAGAGCAAAAGUAGGCCUGCUUCCUGCCAGUUAUAAAAAACCUAGACACCCUCAUCUGAGUUCCAGUUUUACAACUGUGUGUGCUGGUGUCAUCUGGCCCAUGUUGCCCUAUGGAAUCCAGAGCUCAGGAAACCAGUGCAAAAUGGAUGCUGGCUACUGCUGUGAGUAAUAAACUGUUCUUUGUCUCUAACCCUCUAAUAGUCUUGUCUUUUACCAGUGUCCAUGAAAACUGGCGGGACAAUGUAUUAGCUUACAAGCAGAAUAAAAUCUCAGACUCCUCAGUUCUUGACAUACAGUUAUGUUUCCCCUUUGUAAAUAUUAUCUUGUUGGGAGGUGCUUUGAAACUAUGUACACAUUAAUACCCAAAGUUGUUAGAUCUUUUCAAAAUUCUAGUCUUCUGCUCUUGUCCUUUUUUGUGCCUGGAAUAACCUCAUCCUCAUCUCAUUUAUGCACCACAGCCCCCAAACCUUCCUCUACCACUACUAAGGAAUCUCUCCCGCCUCUACUAUGUUAUCCUGUUGUCCACCACCUUCCUGAUCUGUGUGGCUAGUAGAUACACACCAUGUAGUAUAUAUCUUCCUCCAGGAGGGCAUCAUCUAGGGUACUUUGGUUUGGUUAGGUGAAAAUUCUACAUGUGAAUAAGACCACCUGGAUUAUAACUAAAAAAACUUUUGUUACCUUAAACACACUUCAAAAAUCUUACCUGGAAAUACAUUCAUCAAUUUGAUCUCAAUCCUUUUGCAACUGAAAACAAUUCAAGAUUAGCGUAGUACCAACAGUUACCUGUAAAAUACGCCAGAAUAACUUACCAAAAUCCACGCACAGCCAGUCAUCAGUGUCCUUCCCUUCUAUCUUAACAUGAGGGUCA